RNAcentral lists this unclassified non-coding RNA (2921 nucleotides) under Nilaparvata lugens (brown planthopper). RNAcentral's name for it is "radial spoke head 10 homolog B, transcript variant X2". The record is from RNAcentral. Lineage: Eukaryota; Metazoa; Arthropoda; Insecta; Hemiptera; Delphacidae.
AACGGCUCCAACGAUUUUGUUUAAAUUUAUACCUAAAAUAGUCAUUGAUAAGCUCUAUCAUCUUUAAGCUCAAAAUUUGAGAAAAUGUGAUUAUUCAAAUGCAAACUUAAUGAGAGAGGUCUAUUACAUCAUUCACUAGAAGAGAUAGCAGAAUUGAUCUCGUCAGCUGAUCAAUUUUAAUUUAAUAUAUUUCCAAAAUUUUCAUUACGGCAAGGAAAGUUGUGUGAGUGCGCCACACCAGAUUUUUUACUAGUUUACUAGUUCAGCAAAAUAGUCCCUGAUGUUUUAUUUUGUCAGCUGUUAUCGUGUCAGGUGGACAGCUUGGAUCUGCAUAGAAUAAUACUCCUAUCACGCAAUACUCCUAAACUAAAAAAUAACCAAGAUACUUAAAACAGUAUAAACAGCGUCAAUUAAUUUAUAACAUGGAUGAGAACAAGGAUACUGCAGGAAACAAAACCGAUGAAGAACUUGAGUGUGAAAAGAAGCUAAUCAACCUGUUUAGACAUCCGUCACUUAGAGAUGAUCUAAUAUCUUUAUUCAUCGUAAAAAUGUUUGAAUCUGUAGUGAAAAGUUGGGAAGGCUAUCCUUGUGUUGAAAAAUUGAAAGCCAACCCACCCAACAAAGGAUCAGAAAAAAUUAGUACAGAAUUCGUGCCAUUAAGUGAUGCCAAAGUCAACGACGAAAAAUGGGAAAAGAAUGAUUCUGUUACCGAACAAUCAACAAAGCAAGAAAUUCUUCAAAAAUAUUUGGAUGUGAAGAUGAGUUCAUUAGUUGAACAAGAACUGAGGAAUAGACACUUCUCAGUUGAAUCGAUGAUUCCAGAGCUAACUUGGAUCACUGAAGCAAAUGGAGAUAUGAAUCAACCAAUUGAUGACUGGAAAAGGUACAAGGACGAUCAAAUAGCGAAGAUUGAAUUUCGCAAUGGGAAUGUGUACAAAGGUCGAGUGUCCAGGCAUGUGAUGCACGGCGAGGGAGAGUUUAUUUGGCUCGAUGGAACUUCAUAUAAGGGUAGUUUCGACACUGGUCACAUAACUGGCAAUGGAGUGGUGACGUGGCCUACGCAGUCGUGGUACAAAGGUGAAUUGGUGAAAGGAUAUCGACAGGGGAACGGCCUGCUGGUUGUGCCAGGACGGUUGGCAUUCGCCGGCAGUUGGGCCAAUGGAGUGAGGUAUGGACCAGGACUCCUGCUGCAGGACUCAGAGCCGACGCGCGGCUACUGUGACACCACGUGGAGGAGGGAUGUGUGCCAUGGCCUCGGCACCAGGGUCUAUCCUUCGGGCGCCGUUUUCCAUGGACAUUGGCAAGAUGGAAAGCGGCAUGGAUUUGGAGUCAUCAAUUGGCCGAAUGGAGAUAUGUACAGAGGAGACUGGAAGAAUGAUAGAAUGCAUGGUUUGGGAGAGUUCACUUGGUCGCUUGGAGCAGCCACGUCACACAAGUCGUCUAUCUCUUUCCAGAAUAGGUACUACGGUACGUGGGUUGACGGCUCCAGACACGGCAUUGGAAUACUGGAAACUGAUAGUGGAAUGAUUUUGAAAUGCAAAUGGAAGAUGGAUAUGAAACACGGUUAUGGAGAAAUAAUUUGCAACAAUGGCUUUCUUUUGAAAGGCGAUCCGCUGUUUGCCAAUGACCAUCUUUUGGACCCCAUUUCCAACAGUAGACACGCUUCGAUCUCUACAAAAACCUGCCUAUUGAAUGCCCAUUUUAUCCAAAAAGGGAAGAAGUUGAAGAAGCAAAAUGUCCAGACCCAUUUAUCCUGUGAGUCUAUUGAUUUUUGCUAUCAUGUGGAUCGAUAUAUGCAGAACAAGUGGAAUUUGAAACAGUUCGAAAUCGAAAAGAAACUCGAGGACGAAUCAAAAGCCGUUGGAAGAUUUGUUGAAUUUGAAGUGAAAACGCCGAAAACUCAACUUUAUUCUGGCAAUGAUUCUAUGACAAACAGAACAUUCGAGGGAUGCUUUGAAGAGAAGUGGUUGCGAAAUAUCAUAUUGAGAAAUCUACCGCUUUUGAAAAAAGUUUACUUUGAUUAUGCAACCAUACUUUGCAAGUAUUCGACAAAAUCAUGGAGCUCCAAGAUUGCAAUCAUCCGUUUAUUUUUCUGGCAAAUUCUUAGAGACUGUAAAAUUCAGCUCACGGAGAAGUCAGUAGCUGAAUUUGAUAUUUUAAGAACAAUCACUUUGCCCUCUUGAAAGAUCAUCGAAACCCAUUCGAGCGCCUCAGCUUCUUCCAAUUCCUACAUUACCUUAUAGAGAUCUCGUGGCAUUUGUAUGGCAAAUAUGGAGAGAGACAACUCAAGACUCCGGGAGCUCUAGCAUCGGCUCUAGAGAAAUUCAUCGUUGCAGAUUUGAAGCAGAGUAUUGGAAAUAAUUCAGGUUCGGUUUUCAAAGAUUCCAGAAAUCUUUGCUUCAUGAGAGAAAUUUUUGGUCUUUACCAAAGCCUCCAGUCAGAUUUAACUGCGAGACAAUUGUUGAAUGCAAUUUUGAACUGGAAGAAUAAUUCAUAUUUGAAGAAUGUACAGGAAAUGUCCCAUGAUAUAAUAAAACAAUAUGACAUUUCUUGAGCUUUAUGAAAUUCUUCUCUUGUGUGCUGUUGAAUGCUUUGAAUUCAAAAAGAAGCAAGAACGCAGGAAACAAGCAAUUGAAAUAAAACUAUCGCAAAAACCAAAAGAAGAAAGACGGACCUCUUUGAAAAAAACAAGGGUGUCAAGAGAUAACUCAGCUAAAGCUCUGAAAAUCUCUAAAAAACCUUAAAAUUCAUGUUAUGACUCUUUUGCUAGUUUAGAAAAGUUUUAACAUUUUAUGACCUUGGCUAUUUACUGCCAAAGUCCAUGUAAGAUUUCAAUUUCUAUUCGAUCAUAGUUUUAUUGCUGUACUACUGCGAUUAUUUUGUUUCAUGAAUAUAAAAUUUGUAAUAAAUCUCCAUACACA